Long non-coding RNA from Oncorhynchus tshawytscha (Chinook salmon), 2674 nucleotides. The record is from Ensembl. Lineage: Eukaryota; Metazoa; Chordata; Actinopteri; Salmoniformes; Salmonidae.
AGGUGAGGUGAGAGAGGCCUUUGAGCGUUCAGCUCCUACGUGCGUUGGUCCUGUCUGUGGGAUCUCUGAGGAAAAUGACUAUUUUGGUUGGAGUUAUAUAGAAACCUUUUUGAAACGUGUGGUCCUCAUUUGUAUUCCAUUUUUGAUCGGUGCAGAAAAUCUAUCAACUUCCCUUAGGGCUCAACAAGCACACUUUGUUAGGGCUCAACAAGCUUUGUAGCUAUUCAACAGAUAUCAUCUGUCCAGUCAGUCAUCCAUUGGGCACACACUGGUUGAAUCAAUGUUGUGUCCACAUCAUUUCAAUGAAAUUACGUUGAACCAACAUUGACUUGACAUCCGUGCCAAGUGGGAUGCCUUCGCCUAUUCAAUGAAACCUGGGACUGUGAUAUUGAUUUAGAAUUUUGGUCGAAGUUCUCAGUUCUGGACAUUCCAGCGCCUAUAUUCACAGGGUGUCUCAGAGUGCUGAUCUAGGAUCAGGUCAAUCCCUGUCUUAUUCGUUAUGAUCUGAAAGGUAAAACUGAUCCUAGAUGUAUUGUGAAUACGGGCCUUGGUCUCAUAAAGAGUUGCGGUCCUCAGUGUAAGAAUCCCUGUUGCAUGUUGGCCUUUCCGAUCGUCAGUAAGCGAGAAGGAGAGAUUCAAGAUCCAGUCUUGGUAUUAUGUACUUGACCAUCCUAAUUCUUUAUCCAAUUCUCAGUUAGUCCCCUCUGUUCCUAAGCCGGGUCUAUGGCCUUGUUCCAAACCAUGCACCUCUAAAGCUGCAACCAGAGAGGAAGUCUGUGAGGAUUCCCUUUUGAGGCCUUAUAGGGACGAGGUAUUAGGAACUAUGGUUUAGUCCCCAGUCUUCCAGUCCAGGAUGGAGCCCGAUUCGCUUUUAUUAGAUCAAAUCAAACCGUUGAACUUGACCGUGAAGAUCGCUAACGCGUCACAUUAAACGUGACAGCACUAAAUCCGACAUCUUAUCAGCAUCUAUGAGUCCGUUCAGCGGUUUGAUCCGGCACACCGCCGUAUUUAGCCGUAAGAUAAACAUCUUGACGAGGUGCUCUAGAUGCCAUUUCCUUCAACAUUUUUUAAGCCAUUUGAUGAAAAUUGAGUUUGGGUAUUUAAGUGGUUGAAUAUAUAAUGUGUGAAAUUAGAAAUGAAUGUUGUGGAAGAUUUCAUGCAUUUGGUGUCCCUCAACAGGUUUGCUGACUAAUUUGUACAUUUUAAUUUAAUGUCUUCAUGCAACUUUAUUAUUUUUCUUUUUUUUCUUUUUAUAAAGUGAACGUUUCAGGUCAAUGUUAAGUUCUAUGAUAAAAUGGACAACUGCUGUACCACCAUCAAACUGCAACAACUGAGAUUUUAAUAUUGUAGUGUGUGUGUGUCUAUAGCUGUACCCGAAGGUGCUACCCUUACGCACUGUAGAUUCUCCUUUGACUGUACGCCCCCUUCUCUGCGGGACUGUGGUAUGACAAAAGAAAAGACGAGUCAUAUUGCCAAUUCCUUAUUGUCAUUGCCUGUGGCUUUUUAGGGUGCAUCCUCUUGGCUUAAAUGUGAAUAUUUUAGAUCUUCUCCAUGCUGUGCCAACAUUUUACAAACAACUUAGGGAGAUUGGGGGUUCCUGAUUUAAUAUAGAUGGUAGUCUAGCUCAGUGGGAUUUAGAUUAGAUAGAUUUUGGGAAACAAAGACUUUAGAAUGUGGUUUGGAUACAUGACCCCCCUCUGCCUUUGGUACCCUAAGGGGGUCACUCUGUUCAUAAUGAGAAGCAACCUCAGAAAGGUGGUUCUUGUGCACCCUCAGUUCGUCACCUAGCAACUGUGGCAGCCACUGUGCCAACACUCGGCCAUCUUGGAUUUCUCUCCACUUUCUCUCAUUCUCUCUUGUUUUCUGUUUGUCUCUCAUUCUCUCUUACCCCCUCUCUCUCCCUCCUCGUUCUCUCUCUCAGCCUGAAGGACAAAUUGACUUGGUGCCUCUGCAGACCCCUGAUAGCUUAUUCAUUAAACUCACCGUUCACUCACAAUUGUUUGUUUUUUUUACUUUUAAACUGUAAAAUGGAAUAUGGAAUUGAUAGAUUUCCCCCACAUUCCUCUCACCAUACAGUGGCCCCUUUUCAUUAUGGCACAGACGAAGCAACCACCGUUCAAGGAAGCUUACAUUGAGCCUGCUUACUUUGAUGAAAAUAUAAUGAUUGUUGUUGAUUUAUUAUGAUGGUCAUUUUAGAUUUUAAGUCCAAUGUCAAUGAUGGCAGUAGAGUAGAGUCAGAAUAGCUGUUUGUUGGGUGACCGUUUACCCUUCACACUGGGGAAACGCUGAACCCUACUCCUUGCCCUAGUGUCCGUUUCCUUGACUACAGGCUGGAGUGGCAGUUAUUUGGCCCAAUAGUCCCAGACUCCCGGCCCCUUCGUUUCCUGGGAGGAGGUCAGAGGUGAUGACUGCUGAAAAGGGCAACACGCACACAGACACACAGGAACCCUCCCUCAACAGUUAACAGAUCGUCUCGACCUGAACCCCCAACACUGGCUAUCCCACGUCUAUGUUGAGGAGAAGGAGCCAUUUCAGACUCAACCCAGGCCUGAGGCGGUUGCCGUGGUGGGGAAGGGGAGCUUCAGGUACUGGUACCACUGUUUGAGUUGCCGCGGCAACAACAGCAGCACGUUCUCCGUGAGGAAGAGCAGUGCUUCCUGCAUGGCCGGUCGAA